RNAcentral lists this ribosomal RNA (441 nucleotides) under uncultured bacterium. RNAcentral's name for it is "partial 16S ribosomal RNA". It matches the Rfam family "Bacterial small subunit ribosomal RNA", at positions 28 to 507 of the family's 1533-position model. The record is from RNAcentral.
GAUGAACGCUGGCGGCGUGCCUAAUACAUGCAAGUCGAACGGGGAGUAGCAAUACUCUUAGUGGCGAACGGGUGAGUAACGCGUUGGUACCUGCCCCGAAGCGGGGGAUAACGGACCGAAAGGUCCGCUAAUACCCCAUGUGCUCGGUAACGAGUAAAGGUGAAAACCACUUUGGGAGGGGCCUGCGUCCCAUCAGCUAGUUGGUAAGGUAACGGCUUACCAAGGCGAUGACGGGUAGGGGACCUGAGAGGGUGGCCCCCCACAAUGGAACUGAAACACGGUCCAUACACCUACGGGUGGCAGCAGUAGGGAAUAUUGGUAAUGGGCGCAAGCCUGAACCAGCAACUCCGCGUGUGCGAUGACGGCCUUCGGGUUGUAAAGCACUUUUGACUGGGACGAGGAAGGACGGUACCGGUCGAAUCAGCCUCGGCUAACUACGUG